UUAAGUGACUAAGCGUACACGGUGGAUGCCUUGGCAGUCAGAGGCGAUGAAGGACGUAGUAACUUGCGAUAAGCCCAGAUUAGGUAGUAACAACCGCUUGAGUCUGGGAUUUCCGAAUGGGGAAACCCACAUGCAUAAGCAUGUAUCUCACACUGAAUACAUAGGUGUGCAGAGGCGAACCGGGGGAACUGAAACAUCUAAGUACCCCGAGGAAAAGACAUCAACAGAGAUUCCGAAAGUAGCGGCGAGCGAAAUCGGAGUAGCCCUUAAGCUAGUUUGGGAUUAGGUGAAGGCUCUGGAAAGUGCCGCGAUACAGGGUGAUAGCCCCGUAACCGACAAUCCCUUAUUAGUGAAAUCGAGUAGGACGGCGCACGUGAAACGUUGUCUGAACAUGGGGGGACCAUCCUCCAAGGCUAAAUACUCCUGACUGACCGAUAGUGAACCAGUACCGUGAGGGAAAGGCGAAAAGAACCCCUGUGAGGGGAGUGAAAUAGAACCUGAAACCGUGUACGUACAAGCAGUGGGAGCCUCUUCGUGGGGUGACUGCGUACCUUUUGUAUAAUGGGUCAGCGACUUACAUUCUGUAGCAAGGUUAACCGAAUAGGGGAGCCGUAGGGAAACCGAGUCUUAACUGGGCGUUGAGUUGCAGGGUGUAGACCCGAAACCGAGUGAUCUAGCCAUGGGCAGGUUGAAGGUGAGGUAACACUUACUGGAGGACCGAACCGACUAAUGUUGAAAAAUUAGCGGAUGACUUGUGGCUGGGGGUGAAAGGCCAAUCAAACUCGGAGAUAGCUGGUUCUCCCCGAAAGCUAUUUAGGUAGCGCCUCGGACGAAUACUACUGGGGGUAGAGCACUGUUAAGGCUAGGGGGUCAUCCCGACUUACCAACCCUUUGCAAACUCCGAAUACCAGUAAGUACUAUCCGGGAGACACACGGCGGGUGCUAACGUCCGUCGUGGAAAGGGAAACAACCCAGACCGCCAGCUAAGGUCCCAAAUUACUACUAAGUGGGAAACGAUGUGGGAAGGCUCAGACAGCCAGGAUGUUGGCUUAGAAGCAGCCAUCAUUUAAAGAAAGCGUAAUAGCUCACUGGUCGAGUCGGCCUGCGCGGAAGAUUUAACGGGGCUAAGUAGUAAACCGAAGCUGCGGCAAUGCGAUUUAUCGUAUUGGGUAGGGGAGCGUUCUGUAAGCCGUUGAAGGUGUGUUGUAAAGCAUGCUGGAGGUAUCAGAAGUGCGAAUGCUGACAUGAGUAACGAUAAAGGGGGUGAAAAACCCCCUCGCCGGAAGACCAAGGGUUCCUGUCCAACGUUAAUCGGGGCAGGGUGAGUCGACCCCUAAGGCGAGGCUGAAGAGCGUAGUCGAUGGGAAACAGGUUAAUAUUCCUGUACUUCUUGCAAUUGCGAUGGAGGGACGGAGAAGGCUAGGUGGGCUUGGCGACGGUUGUCCAAGUUCAAGUGCGUAGGGAGUAGAAUUAGGCAAAUCCGGUUCUACAUAUCCUGAGACACGACGUCGAGCUACUACGGUAGUGAAGUCAUUGAUGCCAUGCUUCCGGGAAAAGCUUCUAAGCUUCAGAUUGCAAGGAAUCGUACCCCAAACCGACACAGGUGGUCGGGUAGAGAAUACCAAGGCGCUUGAGAGAACUCGGGUGAAGGAACUAGGCAAAAUGGUACCGUAACUUCGGGAGAAGGUACGCUCUUGACGGUGAAGUCCCUUGCGGAUGGAGCUAUUGGGAGUCGCAGAUACCAGGUGGCUGCAACUGUUUAUUAAAAACACAGCACUGUGCAAAAUCGAAAGAUGACGUAUACGGUGUGACGCCUGCCCGGUGCCGGAAGGUUAAUUGAUGGGGUUAGACUUCGGUCGAAGCUCUUGAUCGAAGCCCCGGUAAACGGCGGCCGUAACUAUAACGGUCCUAAGGUAGCGAAAUUCCUUGUCGGGUAAGUUCCGACCUGCACGA
This 1953-nucleotide ribosomal RNA is filed under the name Thaumasiovibrio occultus. RNAcentral describes it as "bacterial LSU rRNA". It matches the Rfam family "Bacterial large subunit ribosomal RNA", at positions 1 to 1995 of the family's 2925-position model. Lineage: Bacteria; Pseudomonadati; Pseudomonadota; Gammaproteobacteria; Vibrionales; Vibrionaceae. The record is from RNAcentral.